RNAcentral lists this transfer RNA (73 nucleotides) under Neotoma lepida (desert woodrat). It matches the Rfam family "tRNA". Rfam says of the family: Transfer RNA (tRNA) molecules are approximately 80 nucleotides in length. Their secondary structure includes four short double-helical elements and three loops (D, anti-codon, and T loops). Further hydrogen bonds mediate the characteristic L-shaped molecular structure. tRNAs have two regions of fundamental functional importance: the anti-codon, which is responsible for specific mRNA codon recognition, and the 3' end, to which the tRNAs corresponding amino acid is attached (by aminoacyl-tRNA synthetases). tRNAs cope with the degeneracy of the genetic code in two manners: having more than one tRNA (with a specific anti-codon) for a particular amino acid; and 'wobble' base-pairing, i.e. permitting non-standard base-pairing at the 3rd anti-codon position. The record is from Rfam by way of RNAcentral. Lineage: Eukaryota; Metazoa; Chordata; Mammalia; Rodentia; Cricetidae.
GCCCGGCUAGCUCAGUCAGUAGAGCAGGGAACUCUUAAUCCCUGAGUCAUGGGUUUGAGCCCNAUAUUGGGCA